AUUGAACGCUGGCGGCAUGCUUUACACAUGCAAGUCGAACGGUAAGGCCCUUCGGGGUACACGAGUGGCGAACGGGUGAGUAACACGUGGGUGAUCUGCCCUGCACUUUGGGAUAAGCCUGGGAAACUGGGUCUAAUACCGAAUACACCCUGCUGGCUGCAUGGCCUGGUGGGGGGAAGCUUUUGCGGUGUGGGAUGGGCCCGUGGCCGAUCAGCUUGGUGGUGGGGUGAUGGCCUACCAAGGCGACGACGGGUAGCCGGCCUGAGAGGGUGACCGGCCACACUGGGACUGAGAUACGGCCCAGACUCCUACGGGAGGCAGCAGUGGGGAAUAUUGCACAAUGGGCGCAAGCCUGAUGCAGCGACGCCGCGUGGGGGAUGACGGCCUUCGGGUUGUAAACCUCUUUCAGUAGGGACGAAGCGCAAGUGGCGGUACCUACAGAAGAAGGACCGGCCAACUACGUGCCAGCAGCCGCAGUAA
This 480-nucleotide ribosomal RNA is filed under the name uncultured bacterium. RNAcentral describes it as "partial 16S ribosomal RNA". It matches the Rfam family "Bacterial small subunit ribosomal RNA", at positions 28 to 523 of the family's 1533-position model. The record is from RNAcentral.